RNAcentral lists this ribosomal RNA (468 nucleotides) under uncultured bacterium. RNAcentral's name for it is "partial 16S ribosomal RNA". It matches the Rfam family "Bacterial small subunit ribosomal RNA", at positions 28 to 507 of the family's 1533-position model. The record is from RNAcentral.
GAUGAACGCUGGCGGCGUGCUUAACACAUGCAAGUCGAACGGAAAGGCCCAAGCUUGCUUGGGUACUCGAGUGGCGAACGGGUGAGUAACACGUGGGUGAUCUGCCCUGCACUUCGGGAUAAGCCUGGGAAACUGGGUCUAAUACUGGAUAGGACCACUUCUUGGAUGGUGUGGUGGAAAGUUUUUUCGGUGUGGGAUGAGCUCGCGGCCUAUCAGCUUGUUGGUGGGGUAAUGGCCUACCAAGGCGUCGACGGGUAGCCGGCCUGAGAGGGUGUACGGCCACACUGGGGCUGAGAGGAGGGUCAGACUCCUACAGGAGGCAGCAGUGGGGAAUAUUGAACAAAGAGAGCUAGCGUGAUGCAGCGAAGCCGCGUGGGGGAUGACGGCCUUAGGGUUGUAAACGCCGUUCGCAGAGGACGAAGCGUUUUUGUGACGGUAACUGGAGAAGAAGCACCGGCUAACUACGUG